This 253-nucleotide ribosomal RNA is filed under the name uncultured bacterium. Its description in RNAcentral is "partial 16S ribosomal RNA". It matches the Rfam family "Bacterial small subunit ribosomal RNA", at positions 524 to 776 of the family's 1533-position model. The record is from RNAcentral.
UACGUAGGGUGCAAGCGUUAAUCGGAAUUACUGGGCGUAAAGCGUGCGCAGGCGGUGAUGUAAGACAGAUGUGAAAUCCCCGGGCUCAACCUGGGAACUGCAUUUGUGACUGCAUCGCUGGAGUGCGGAAGAGGGGGAUGGAAUUCCGCGUGUAGCAGUGAAAUGCGUAGAUAUGCGGAGGAACACCGAUGGCGAAGGCAAUCCCCUGGGCCGGCACUGACGCUCAUGCACGAAAGCGUGGGGAGCAAACAGG